AUUUGAAUAAGUUUGGUAAUCUUUCACUUUAAGGGGCAUGACUUUGUUAGAGUUGAAGAAGAAUGACAUUAUUGAUAUCUUGAUAAUGAGGUCAAUUGAUUCAAAAUGCCUGACUUACUGUAAAAAUAAUAAUGAAUAAAACUCACCAGCGGUUGGAUAGAAUCGCUCAAAAGAGCCACCUCGUUUAAUGGGGGCAAGCGUGUGUGACCGAGUGGCAGCAGACGCUGCCAGCAAUUCAGUCUCCAGGUCUCUCGCUGCCUACCAUAGGCAUCAAACGAACCAACAAACAAAUAGAACAAACGACCUAACUAAUUAACCAAGUCUAUACCCGCUAAAGAGUACAGAGUCACUAGACAAGGGGUACCUUGAAUUAAAAACAUGUAAGCAUGUACAUAGGGAAUUUAAUAUGAUUAUAAUGGGUUAUGCUGAAAUAAUUUAGUUGCUAAUCAAAUUACUCUUUGUGAAACUCCUAUAAUACAACUGAUCUUGUUGCCCCAGUUGAAAGGAUCAAAAUUCUGUUAGCAGAUCCGCCCAAAUUCAUCUACAAGAGGUUUAUAGCAUCCAACUAUUCUUACUGAUGAUAAAUAAAAUGUACGUGCUCGAGUAUAAGGACAAAUAUUCAGACAAGCCAAGAAAAAAAUGCUUUGAAAACGAACUCUUCAAUCAGCAUAGACGAAUGAACACCUAUAUUCUUCAAUAUAGACAUAAUUUUGAUGGCUAUCCCCAUUGAUUACAGCCGUGAUGCCAUGGACGCUAAAGGUCUACGAACAUUCCUACCCUCUUCUAUGAAAAAACCGUAGCAACAUCAAGUAUAUGUGCAGCAAUAAGAGAGGAUCUGUAAGCUCUGUUCUAUAUCAAGUAAUACAUAAGGCAGAAACCACAAGUGAAGUGAAUGGUAAGAACAAAAGUAAAUAGAUUGUGAGAAUACAGCUUCUAUUCAAUGAUGUCGGAUAGAGAUCAUGAUUGGUUUCAUGUCAUAUGAAUGGAAAGCUUUCGUUGCGGUGGCUGUUCGAAGGCAAACAACAAUACCUUCCAAUACGUCCCGUCAUGGCUACAAUGUGUGUUCUGUUUUCUCAUCCUUACUUUUCCCUCUCUUGUUUCUAGUCACUACAAAUACACAAUACCUACUACCGGAGGCUGAGCCGGGAUAUACUAGAAUAUUCUGUACUUGAAUCACAAAAGAACUGCAUCAGACAAUGCUAAUGAAAUUUAGUGAUUUUGACUUCCGGAGUUCACAAAUGAAUAUAGCAGGAGAAAACUAGAAAGAAAAAACUUAGUAGAUUUAGCAGUAUAACUUUUCCUUUGUACAAAUAAUAUUGCAAGUUUUACAUUGAUUUCAGAAGAUUUUGCAAUGACGUAGAAAAUUAUUCAUAUUCACCUGCCCAUUGACAAACCAAUCCCAUUUGGUUUUUGAAAUACAUAAUUAAAAGGACGGAGGACGGAUGGAAUAAGGACCUAAUCCAAGAAUAGUUAUCUUGAAACAAUCGUGAAAAACAUGGGAAAGGCUCCUGUAACAGAAUGUAAGUGUUUUUCCGAUUUACAUACGAGGUAUUCUUCGGUACAAAAAUACUCAAUUAGUGCCAUGCCAUGAAUUAAAGUUAUUGAUGAAUCGGACGCACUUCGGUACUGAAUGAUACAACUAAACUGCAUAAGUCACUAAGAACCACAUGGAACUACUAACGCGUUUACAAGCUAUCGAUUCCAGAGAAACGCUGCAUACUAAAUGCUUAGAAUUCUAUGGAAUAUAGUAUAUUCAAAUGUAUUUGACAUUUUUUGGGGUCCAAAAAGUUCUUAGGAGCGUGGCUCUAUUCGAACCAGACCUCUGUUCCAAAUAUAGAUCUUUGUUUCACACAAACGAAGCACUUCGCAGCCACAAUAUUGGUACAAUAUAUAAAUCUUGUAAUUGUAUAAUUUUGAUAAAGUUGAUCUCCAGAA
Long non-coding RNA from Athalia rosae (coleseed sawfly), 1935 nucleotides. RefSeq lists it as uncharacterized. The transcript is spliced from 2 exons. The record is from RefSeq and is a predicted model, not a curated record. Lineage: Eukaryota; Metazoa; Arthropoda; Insecta; Hymenoptera; Athaliidae.